GUGAGUAAAGUGUGACAUCCCCUCUUCCUCUUUCAGAGCAAGUGUACUCAGUCAGCUUUAUAUGUUGUCACUUCUAUGUAAGUUUGUGUGUGUGUGUGUCUGUGUGUGUGUGUGAGAGAGAAAGGGAUUUGGGGAAAAUUUUUUUUAAUUUUUGAAUAGCACAGAACUGUCCCAUUUGGUAGUGCACAACUAUAAUCUCAGUACUCUGGGAAGCUGAGGCCCAACAAUCACAGGUUCAAGCCCCACCUAGUCAACUUAGUGAAUUAGCAAGACCCUGCCUCAAAAAAUACUUGAAUUAUUCUGUAAGACCGCUGUCCUUACCAAACGCUCCGAGGAGCUGACUAUAGUGAAGCACACCCAGGGAUCCCAGCGGUGCCUCCAGAAUGGAAGGUCAAAGGCCUUACCAAAUGCUCCAAGGAGCUGGAGUGGAGCACACCCGGGGAUCCCAGUGGUGCCUCCAGAAUGUAAGACCAAGGCCUUGCCAAAUGCUCCAAGGAGCUGACUGCAGGGAAGAACACCCGGGAAGGAACACACCGGACAAGUUGGAAAGUGAAACAGACCUUAGUCUGGCCAGACGGCACUCCCAAAGCAGAGUAGCUUAGAGAGGUGUAGUCCAGAGUCGAGGCUCUUUUUAUAGGGGCUUGCAGGGGAAUUAACAGGCGAAAUUUACAAAGGUUUAGUGGUCUUACAUUUGUAUGUUAAUUAGCCUGACAUGUACUGAUAGUCAGCAGAUGCUUUGUAGAUUGUUCUAUAGACAGUGGUGUCGGGAACAAAGAGUUGGAUAAUUAUGGCUGAUACAGAUCUUAUCUAGUGUCCCAGAACUAAGAAGCAUCUUUAUCUAUUUACUCAUAUUCAAUCACAGUUGGGGCUAGGGGAGUUUUAUGAUUACAGAAUUAUGCAGUCCUACAAUUCCCCUUGUCAUGUCCUCCUUGUCAUUAUUCCCCCACAUCUCCCCUACCAUCACAUAUUUUAAGGGAAAACUUUUAAAGUAUUAAUACAUUCUAAAGUCAUUUCAUGUCCUCCACUACCCACCCUUAUACUCCUUCCU
RNAcentral lists this long non-coding RNA (1048 nucleotides) under Heterocephalus glaber (naked mole-rat). RNAcentral's name for it is "lncRNA (ENSHGLG00100039543.1)". The record is from RNAcentral. Lineage: Eukaryota; Metazoa; Chordata; Mammalia; Rodentia; Bathyergidae.